This 571-nucleotide long non-coding RNA is filed under the name Dromaius novaehollandiae (emu). Its description in RNAcentral is "lncRNA (ENSDNVG00000001511.1)". The record is from RNAcentral. Lineage: Eukaryota; Metazoa; Chordata; Aves; Casuariiformes; Dromaiidae.
AGAAAUAUGAAGAGAAUGUAACUAGAGGAAGUAGUGGUUGAAACACUGUAAAGUGAAAUGGGAGGCGACCUGAGGCAGUUGCUCAAACUAGCAGCAGGACCGUGAGCCCCUCUUGGAUGCCUGGGUUGGCUGAUGGAGCCCGGUGAGGAUCUGUCUUGGCUUCCGCCUCUCCUUGCUCUGCCUGAGGCUGUUUCAUCUGCAUUACCGGGACCAGAAGCCCUGGGAAGAUGAAGUGACAAACCCCAUCCGUGGCUGCACCGGGACACGAGCACGAGUUCCCUUGCAGCUUUGUUGACUGUUGCAGCCACGUAGACACUCAUACUUCUGCUGAGUCUGGAGAAAAAACGAUCCAAUAAGAUUGGAUCCAGGGUAAGAAAAGGACUUUUUUUACACCUUCUUGGAAGAGGCUUCUCCACCCCUCCCCAGGGCUCCUUGUAUUAGAAAACCAUGCAUGUUUCCUGUGCGAUAGCACAGCAAUUCGGAAGAUCACAGACUGGUAAUUGUUGCAAGCCAGGGUAACAUGCAGCUUAUUUGUUUUUCUUACUUUGACAGCGAUCAUAAGCCACCAAUA